RNAcentral lists this small RNA (176 nucleotides) under Jaculus jaculus (lesser Egyptian jerboa). RNAcentral's name for it is "TUC338 (ENSJJAG00000002966.1)". The record is from RNAcentral. Lineage: Eukaryota; Metazoa; Chordata; Mammalia; Rodentia; Dipodidae.
GAGGAAGCAAUGGAGACAAAAGAUUGCUAUUAACCUACAGAGACUACUGCAGGGUUCACUGUAAGAUUUAUCACACUUUUGGGCCAAGGAUGUGUUAGUGAGACGAGAAGGGACCACCUCUUUUCUGGGCCAAGAGGGCAAUUUGGUCUCCAUGCUCAUUUAAUCCUGGGACUUCU